Molecule: ribosomal RNA, 192 nt
Filed under: uncultured bacterium
Lineage: Bacteria
Description: partial 16S ribosomal RNA
Rfam family: Bacterial small subunit ribosomal RNA
Source: RNAcentral
ACUACGCCUAUAUGAAGUCGGAAUUGCUAGUAAUCGCGGAUCAGCAUGCCGCGGUGAAUACGUUCCCGGGCCUUGUACACACCGCCCGUCACACCAUGAGAGUCGAUAACACCCGAAGCCUGUAGUCUAACAGCAAUGAGGACGCAGUCGAAGGUGGGAUUGAUAAUUAGGGUGAAGUCGUAACAAGGUAGC